Molecule: long non-coding RNA, 3302 nt
Organism: Ailuropoda melanoleuca (giant panda)
Lineage: Eukaryota; Metazoa; Chordata; Mammalia; Carnivora; Ursidae
Exons: 3
Source: RefSeq, a predicted model, not a curated record
CGCUUAACAACUGUGCCACCCAGGCGCCCCUCUUUAUACAUUUUCUGUCUCUAAUUUGUCUUCUCCUCAAACUACUAACUUAUUUUCCUUAAACUCCUCACCAAAACACUUUAGUGAUCAGUAAUAAUUACUAUUUUUAUGAAUUUAAAGUUCUCUCAAACACCAGUCAUUUCUAAUCUCUAACUGUAACAGACUCUUGAGGGUUGUUUCUGUAACAAGUGCCAGACUUAUCUCUUCACUGAAAUGCUCUUCUGAGACCGAUUUCUUUAGGAGGCUGUCCUGGAUCUUCUAUGACUCCAAUUCUUCCUGCUCGGUGUUCUCUGCCUAUCCCAGUGCUGGUAUUGCCUAUGGUUCACUCUCCCUCCAGCUGUCAUUUGUAAACAGACAAUUCCCAAACUUCUAUCUCUUGCUACAACUUUGUCCUGAACUCUGGAAUGGCAUUUGUAAUGACAUACUCUAGCCUUCCAACUGGGUAUCUUUUGAAGUAUCUCCAACUUAGCAAGCACUGCAGCCUUAAAUACCACCACCACCACAGGGAGACAUUACUAAAACACAUUUUGCAAGAAAGGUAAUAAUGAUGAUGACUGAUUUUAAAAGAAAAUAAGCACAUGUGACAUUUUCAAUCUAUGUGCUAAGCUAUUUCAAGGAGGCAGAAUUUUUCCACACACAGGAUGGAUACUGAUCAUUCCACCCAGCAUCUUCAGGGAGAGGCAAAUUCUUUCAGCUUCUCUAGCUUACCGGAAAUGCCGUUAAAGAAUAUUACCUCUCUUUGUUCUUAUUCUGAGCUCCAUAGGCAACUUUCUGAUCCAUAAUUAGAUUGAAAACAAAGGCAGAUGUCUGUUAUUGUGACUGGAUACAGCCGUUGUAUAUUCAUAAACUGGCAUCUAGUUGGUAAAUGAUUCUCUUGUCACAGUUUGCUUGGUGUGAGUCAGUGUCCCAGAGAUGGUGAACUCUAGGUGAACUGUUGAGAUCAAGUUUCUCUAUCUGCAAAACUGAAGACCAGACUUUGGACUGUGGCAACUGAAAAUAGACCGUGAACCUGAGAGGUGAGGCCCAGCCAAGGAGGUCAGCAGACUCUUCUUGUUGAUAUAUUUUUAGCUGCACACAUUUUGAGUUACAUCUCUUUGUCCACACAGUGCAUAUCACAGUGCAAAGCAUCAGAAAGUUGAAUACUUAUUAUCUGACCUCAGCUAUUCAAUGGAGAGUCCAAAAGAAAAUAGCGUAUGCACUCAAUUUCAAAACUAGAAUUUCUAGGAGAUCCACAAAGCCUUCCUGGCAUGAAAGAAGACAAAAGAAAUAAUAAUAGAAACAAACAGCAACAAAACAGCACAUGGAGUGGUGAAGUCCUUAGCAGCCUCGAAAAGAAAGCCUGCCAUUUUUUGAGUAUAUAUUAUGAUGUGGGAAGUGCUUUGCAUUUUCUAUUUCUUUUAAUUAUCCCAAUGUCUCUGGACUGCAAUUAGGCUCAAUUUAUAGUUGAGGAACACACAGUCAAGAGGGGGCAAGCAACUGCCCAGAGUACGCAACUAGUAAGUGGUAGAAGUUGGUUCAAACCUAGGGCAUUUUGACUGCAAAGCUGAUGCUCUUAAACACAGUGGACAUUUGCUGUUUUUCUAGUAACUCUUCACAGCAGCAGGAAUAGUAUGAAGAGCUAAGCUUCAGAAUUUACAUAAAUCUAAGUUUCAAUUAUAGUCUCUAUAACUGCAAAUAGCUAUCCUUAGAUGUACGCUAAAUACUGUUUCUUUGGGAAUUCCAAAUGUAAUCUCAAGAAACAUUAAAAAAGGAUGCAUAUAACAAGAUUAAAAAUGAGUAUCUCUUUGUUUAUUUAAAAGUUGUUUUGAAAAACAUUUCUCAUUCCCUAUUGCUGUAAUCCCACACCCCACCUUGUACUGAGUAGUGUAGUUUAUCUUUUUUGGCCAGGUCCUCAGAGAAAUCAAAUGAUUCCAAAGAAAUCAAAUGGACUUGUGUCCUGGGUCACAGUAGACAUGUGAGUAAUGUGUUAUGUGCAGGAGUAUAAGCGUGUGCCUGUGUAUUUCUGAAAUGAAAAUCAUAAAGCCUUACUGAGUGAAGGAGUCUGAUCUGUUUUGUUUGCUCAUCAUGACCCACUAAUGGGUCAAGAUCUACAGUUUGAAGAGUCCCGCAAUGUGGAAGGAAUGUUUUAGUAGGAGAGAGAACCCUGAGUUCUUUGCUAGCUCCAUUUCUGAAUGGAAAACUUUGCUCACACCAGCAAACCGAGGUGAGAGGAUUAAAUCAGAUCAUUCCAGGGCCUCGGUUUCAAUCUAUCAAGGAUUUCCCACCUUGAUGCUGGUUAUUUUUCUUCAUCAGGUAAUCAGGAAAAGCAGUGCAUUUCUCCCCCAUGGGCAGGACUGAGUGCCCCCGCAUGUCUCCUAUCGCCCUACCUCCUUAUCUGGGUCUGUUUUUAAGGGGCUGCAGUACUGUCAGCUGCUCAGCCCAGGGGCCCAGCUCCAUCCACAGAUCGGUCCCAGCAACAAUGCUGGUUGGAGACGUCAGUCCCCAGGGUCCUCCCCAAAGCAGUAUAACCUUACAGGGUUCAAGCAAGUAAGCACAGUAUUAACAUGGAUUUCUAGUGACAUCUGUUGUGUCUUUAAUGCCCCAUCCCAUCAGACUUCUAAGCCAUAACAGAUCUACUUUGAAUUCAGGGCAAGCUUUUUACAUAUGGAACUGGAAACUCUGACCAUAUCUGGGGGCAAAAUUCUAAACAUUCUGAAAAGAGUAUAAACUUUCCAGUUCAUUAAAAUAAGAGAAUUUAAAAGCAGUAUAUUUACUUGCAGAGAAAGUUCUCUGAUUCUAAUCCCAAAGUGAUUCUGAAAAUCAAAACAUUCUCCAAGUUUUAUCAGAACAAUGACUAUCUGUAUUAGUUCUGUGUACGCACUAAAUAAGCAUACACACAUAUACACCCACAAAACUCUACCAUGCUGAUAUUAAAUAGAGGAAGAUUCCUAUGAAGUUUGGAUAGUUUAGCUAAUUAAGGAGUUUAAAACUGAGUGAAAGCAUCAUAAGGGCUGCAAGUGAUUUAGACUUUUCUACCCACAGGUUUCUGUGACAGGGCACCUGUCUCAGCAGACAACCAGAAAACCCAACACAGGACCAUUAUGCACCUACCUUCUCCACUAAAGAAAAGAAAGGAUUCCACACAAUGAAUGCUACAGAGGACCCUAACCAAUGGCCAAAGACUGGAUAAACUGAAGCAAGUCUAAGAAGAAACUGAAGGUCUCGCAAAUCCACAGGCCACCAGGUACCACAGGAACUGAUCAAGUCCUGGCGCUGUGUCCCAUACGCUCUUG